This 162-nucleotide ribosomal RNA is filed under the name Ruditapes philippinarum (Manila clam). RNAcentral describes it as "5.8S ribosomal RNA". It matches the Rfam family "5.8S ribosomal RNA". From Rfam's summary of the family: 5.8S ribosomal RNA (5.8S rRNA) is a component of the large subunit of the eukaryotic ribosome. It is transcribed by RNA polymerase I as part of the 45S precursor that also contains 18S and 28S rRNA. The record is from RNAcentral. Lineage: Eukaryota; Metazoa; Mollusca; Bivalvia; Venerida; Veneridae.
AACUCUAUGCGGUGGAUCACUCGGCUCGUGCGUCGAUGAAGAGCGCAGCCAGCCUUGCGUUGUGAAUUAAUGUGAAUUGCAGGACACCUGAACAUCGACACCUUGAACGCUACAGUUGUCGGCUCUGGCUCAUCUGCCAGAGCCACGCCUGUCCGAGGGUCG